Molecule: ribosomal RNA, 322 nt
Filed under: uncultured eukaryote
Lineage: Eukaryota
Description: partial 18S ribosomal RNA
Rfam family: Eukaryotic small subunit ribosomal RNA
Source: RNAcentral
CCCUUAGAUGUUCUGGGCCGCACGCGUGCUACACUGAGUGGAUCAGCGGGUGAGGUUGCGCGAAAGUGUUUCCUAAUCUUUAAAUCCGCUCGUGAUGGGGAUUGACGGUUGCAAUUUUCCGUCAUGAACGAGGAAUACCUUGUAAGCGCGGGUCAUCAUCCCGCGCUGAAUACGUCCCUGCCCUUUGUACACACCGCCCGUCGCUCCUACCGAUUGAGUGGUCCGGUGAGGCUUUGGGAUCUGAGCGGAAAGAGCGUUUCGCUGUUUCUGCUCGGAAAACUCAGUCGAACCUUAUCAUUUAGAGGAAGGAGAAGUCGUAACA